AGUGAACGCUGGCGGUAGGCCUAACACAUGCAAGUCGAACGGCAGCACAGUAAGAGCUUGCUCUUACGGGUGGCGAGUGGCGGACGGGUGAGGAAUACAUCGGAAUCUACUUUUUCGUGGGGGAUAACGUAGGGAAACUUACGCUAAUACCGCAUACGACCUACGGGUGAAAGCAGGGGAUCUUCGGACCUUGCGCGAUUGAAUGAGCCGAUGUCGGAUUAGCUAGUUGGCGUGGUAAAGGCCCACCAAGGCGACGAUCCGUAGCUGGUCUGAGAGGAUGAUCAGCCACACUGGAACUGAGACACGGUCCAGACUCCUACGGGAGGCAGCAGUGGGGAAUAUUGGACAAUGGGCGCAAGCCUGACCCAGCCAUACCGCGUGGGUGAAGAAGGCCUUCGGGUUGUAAAGCCCUUUUGUUGGGAAAGAAAAGCAGCAGGUUAAUACCCCGCUGUUCUGACGGUACCCAAAGAAUAAGCACCGGCUAACUUCGUG
RNAcentral lists this ribosomal RNA (492 nucleotides) under uncultured bacterium. RNAcentral describes it as "partial 16S ribosomal RNA". It matches the Rfam family "Bacterial small subunit ribosomal RNA", at positions 29 to 507 of the family's 1533-position model. The record is from RNAcentral.